CGUAAGACCGCGCGAAGGAUGGCAGUGAAAAUCCUUUUGUUUGUAGCGCAGCGGAAAACAAAAGAUUGAAACGGACAGCCUGACCCUUG
This 89-nucleotide small RNA is filed under the name Flavobacterium caeni. Its description in RNAcentral is "Flavo-1 RNA". It matches the Rfam family "Flavo-1 RNA". The record is from Rfam by way of RNAcentral. Lineage: Bacteria; Pseudomonadati; Bacteroidota; Flavobacteriia; Flavobacteriales; Flavobacteriaceae.